This 253-nucleotide ribosomal RNA is filed under the name uncultured bacterium. RNAcentral's name for it is "partial 16S ribosomal RNA". It matches the Rfam family "Bacterial small subunit ribosomal RNA", at positions 524 to 776 of the family's 1533-position model. The record is from RNAcentral.
UACAGAGGUGGCGAGCGUUGUUCGGAUUCAUUGGGCGUAAAGGGUGCGUAGGUGGCUUGGUAAGUUGGAUGUGAAAUUCCACAGCUUAACUGAGGAAUGGCAUCCAAAACUACCUUGCUUGAGGGUUUGGGAAGAGAGUGGAAUUCUCGGUGUAGCGGUGAAAUGCGUAGAUAUCGAGAAGAACACCAGUGGCGUAGGCGGCUCUCUACCACAUCCCUGACACUAAGGCACAAAAGCGUGGGGAGCAAACGGG